Molecule: long non-coding RNA, 437 nt
Filed under: Cyanistes caeruleus (blue tit)
Lineage: Eukaryota; Metazoa; Chordata; Aves; Passeriformes; Paridae
Description: lncRNA (ENSCCEG00000015978.1)
Source: RNAcentral
AUCAUAUUUCAUCUUUCAUCAACCAAUUUCAUCUCUAGUUGAUAAAACAGACUAGAAGAUGUUAAAGAACACCAGAUAGUGCUUUAUUCAUUCUGGAAACUCAAUGCCAACUGGAACAUCAGCUUCCAUUUAUCCUCCAGAAGCCACAGUUCUGGCAAACUGUAUGAUGCCCUAGAAAGCCUCUCUCUCAUGAAAGCAUGGAGAUUUCUUUAGCUGCAAGAAAGCUGCCCAUGUGAACUGAAGAAUGAAAGUCUGACAACAAAAAACUGGGACAAUCCUUCCAGAGCUGUGUGUUCAAUGUCACCAUCUAGACAUCAUUUCCGAGGCAGUGCAAUCAACAGGGAAUAAUGCUGUGUGUUCUUCUCAUUAUACAUGCUUGUAAUUGAAAUGUGCCUACUGCCACCACAGCUAGUUAGAAGUAAUAAAAAGUACCUCUG